UACGUAGGGGGCAAGCGUUGUCCGGAAUCAUUGGGCGUAAAGAGCGUGUAGGCGGCCCGAUAAGUCCGCUGUGAAAGUCCAGGGCUCAACCCUGGGAUGCCGGUGGAUACUGUCGGGCUCGAGUCCGGAAGAGGAGUGUGGAAUUCCUGGUGUAGCGGUGAAAUGCGCAGAUAUCAGGAGGAACACCAAUGGCGAAGGCAGCACUCUGGGACGUGACUGACGCUGAGACGCGAAAGCGUGGGGAGCAAACGGG
This 253-nucleotide ribosomal RNA is filed under the name uncultured bacterium. Its description in RNAcentral is "partial 16S ribosomal RNA". It matches the Rfam family "Bacterial small subunit ribosomal RNA", at positions 524 to 776 of the family's 1533-position model. The record is from RNAcentral.